UUAGAGUUUGAUCCUGGCUCAGGAUGAAUGCUAGCGGCAGGCUUAACACAUGCAAGUCGAGGGGCAGCAUGGGAGUAGCAAUACUUCUGAUGGCGACCGGCGCACGGGUGCGUAGCGCGUAUGCAACCUACCUGUAACAGGGGGAUAACACUGACAAAUCGGUACUAAUACCGCAUAACACUAUGAGAGGCAUCUCUUGUGGUUGAAAGUUUCGGCGGUUACAGAUGGGCAUGCGUUGUAUUAGCUGGUUGGUAAGGAAACGGCUUACCAAGGCGACGAUACAUAGGGGGACUGAGAGGUUAACCCCCCACAUUGGUACUGAGACACGGACCAAACUCCUACGGGAGGCAGCAGUGAGGAAUAUUGGUCAAUGGACGGAAGUCUGAACCAUCCAUGCCGCGUGCAGGAAGACGGCUCUAUGAGUUGUAAACUGCUUUUGUACAAGGGUAAACCUGAAUACGUGUAUUCAGCUGAAAGUACUGUACAAAUAAGGAUCGGCUAACUCCGUGCCAGCAGCCGCGGUAAUACGGAGGAUCCAAGCGUUAUCCGGAUUUAUUGGGUUUAAAGGGUGCGUAGGCGGAUUGAUAAGUUAGAGGUGAAAUGUCCGAGCUCAACUCGGGAACUGCCUCUAAUACUGUUGAUCUAGAGAGUAGAUGCGGUAGGCGGAAUGUAUGGUGUAGCGGUGACAUGCUUAGAGAUCAUACAUAACACCGAUUGCGAAGGCAGCUUACCAAUCUAUAUCUGACGUUGAGGCACGAAAGCGUGGGGAGCAAACAGGAUUAGAUACCCUGGUAGUCCACGCAGUAAACGAUGAUAGCUCGUUGUCGGCGAUACACAGUCGGUGAUUAAGAGAAAUCGAUAAGCUAUCCACAUGGGGAGUACGUUUGCAAGAAAGAAACUCAAAGGAAUUGACGGGGGCCCGCUCGAGCGGAGGAACAUGUGGUUUAAUUCGAUGAUUCGCGAGGAACCUUACCCGGGCUUGAAAGUUCGUGACUGAUCUGGAAACAGGUCUUCCCUUCGGGGCACGAAAAUAGGUGCUGCAUGGUUGUCGUCAGCUCGUGCCGUGAGGUGUCGGGUUAAGUCCCAUCACGAGCGCAACCCCUCCUGAUAGUUGCCAUCAGGUCAAGCUGGGCACUCUAUCGGGACUGCCGGUGUAAGCCGGAGGAGGGUGGGGAUGACGUCAAAUCAGCCCGGCCCUUACGUCCGGGGCGACACACGUGUUGUCAAUGGUAGGUACAGAGGGCCGCUACCCAGUGAUGGGGUGCAAAUCUCUGAAAGCCUAUCUCUAGUUCUGGAUUGGAAGUCUGAAACUCGCCUCCAUGAAGUUGGAUUCGCUAGUAAUCGCGCAUCAGCCAUGGCGCGGUGAAUACGUUCCCGGGCCUUGCACUCACCGCCCGUCA
This 1400-nucleotide ribosomal RNA is filed under the name uncultured bacterium. RNAcentral's name for it is "16S ribosomal RNA". It matches the Rfam family "Bacterial small subunit ribosomal RNA". The record is from RNAcentral.